UACGGGGGGGGCAAGCGUUGUUCGGAAUUACUGGGCGUAAAGGGCUCGUAGGCGGCCAACUAAGUCAGACGUGAAAUCCCUCGGCUUAACCGGGGAACUGCGUCUGAUACUGGAUGGCUUGAGAUUGGGAGAGGGAUGCGGAAUUCCAGGUGUAGCGGUGAAAUGCGUAGAUAUCUGGAGGAACACCGGUGGCGAAGGCAGGUCACUGGGCCGCAACUGACGCUGAGGAGCGAAAGCAUGGGGAGCGAACAGG
This 253-nucleotide ribosomal RNA is filed under the name uncultured bacterium. RNAcentral describes it as "partial 16S ribosomal RNA". It matches the Rfam family "Bacterial small subunit ribosomal RNA", at positions 524 to 776 of the family's 1533-position model. The record is from RNAcentral.